GGAGSGUKMAARCGUUGUCCGGAUUUAUUGGGUUUAAAGGGUGCGUAGGCGGCUAUUUAAGUCAGUGGUGAAAUCCAGCAGCUCAACUGUUGAACUGCCAUUGAUACUGAAUAGCUUGAAUAUAGUUGAGGUAGGCGGAAUUGACGGUGUAGCGGUGAAAUGCAUAGAUAUCGUCAAGAACCCCGAUUGCGAAGGCAGCUUACUAAACUAUAAUUGACGCUGAGGCACGAAAGCGUGGGGAUCAAACAGGAUUAGAUACCCUGGUAGUCCACGCUGUAAACUAUGAUCACUCGAUGUGUGCGAUAUACAGUACGCGUCCAAGCGAAAGCGUUAAGUGAUCCACCUGGGGAGUACGGCCGCAAGGUUG
Molecule: ribosomal RNA, 367 nt
Filed under: uncultured bacterium
Lineage: Bacteria
Description: bacterial SSU rRNA
Rfam family: Bacterial small subunit ribosomal RNA
Source: RNAcentral